AACCCUAAUCAAAUAACACAUAACACUACUUAUUUCUCUCUUCUCACAAAUCAUUGUUGUCCGUUCUUUCUUGCCACUAAAGCAGACAUAUAUUCCUCCUACAAGUCAUAAUCACGAGUGUGGGUUGUUGAAGUUUUUUUUUUCUGAUAAAGACAAACAGACGAAGAGAACAGAAGAGGAGGGAAACGCAGGGAUCUAUGCAACUUCCGCGGUUUGGCAUAAGCGAAAUACACAAGAAAUUUUUGAGGGACCCACGCUGCAGAACUUCUUCACUCAACCGAGAAGAAAGGCGAAGAAAAUUGUCUUGUUCAUGGCACAUUCAAUGUUUCCCCUUCUUACCUCAACAUCUUGCUUUGUUGGGUGGGUCGCUACCGUCACUUUCACCUUCCUUGAGAUGCUCGUUCCCCCGCUUGCUCAUCUUCUUCUUCGACCAAGUCUGAUCUAUUCCGAUCUAGCACAGUAAAAGCUUUUUUAGGUCGCAUAUAUGGAGUUCCAGAUCCAUUCAAUGCUCAACGUUGCGCCGUCAAUGGAGGCCAUUGUCGCCGACAAAGUCUCCAACGUGAAUGAUGAAGUCGUUACCUGAUGUUAUUGCUUGUUUUGCUUCUGAUGGGAUGUCUUCAAUCUAGACGGUUUUGGUUAUUGUUCUAAGUUCUAACUUAUUUUAUGUUAGUUAGGGAUAUUAGGCAUCGUCUGGAUAGUUUUCUUUUUGUAAGUUUCCAAAUUAUUAAAAACAAAAUUCAAUUUA
Glycine soja is the source of this 745-nucleotide long non-coding RNA. RefSeq lists it as uncharacterized. NCBI's taxonomy places the organism in Eukaryota, Viridiplantae, Streptophyta, Magnoliopsida, Fabales, Fabaceae. The record is from RefSeq and is a predicted model, not a curated record. The transcript is spliced from 2 exons.